GAUGAACGCUAGCGACAGGCUUAACACAUGCAAGUCGAGGGGCAGCAUAAAAGUAGCAAUACUUUGGUGGCGACCGGCGCACGGGUGAGUAACGCGUAUGCAACCUAUCUAUCAGCGGGGAAUAACCCGGCGAAAGUUGGACUAAUACAGCAUAAAACAGGGGCACCGCAUGGUGAAAUUUGUUAAAGAACUGCGCUGAUAGAUGGGCAUGCGUUCCACUAGGUAGUUGGUGAGGUAACGGCUCGCCAAGCCGACGAUGGAUAGGGGAACUGAGAGGUUGGUCCCCCACACUGGUACUGAGACACGGACCAGACUCCUACGGGAGGCAGCAGUGAAGAAUAUUGGUCAAUGGGCGGGAGCCUGAACCAGCCAAGUCGCGUGAAGGAAGAAGGAUCUAUGGUUCGUAAACUUCUUUUGCAGGGGAAUAAAGUGCAGGACGUGUCCUGUUUUGUAUGUACCCUGAGAAUAAGGAUCGGCUAACUCCGUGCCAGCCGCCGCGGUAA
RNAcentral lists this ribosomal RNA (503 nucleotides) under uncultured bacterium. RNAcentral's name for it is "partial 16S ribosomal RNA". It matches the Rfam family "Bacterial small subunit ribosomal RNA", at positions 28 to 523 of the family's 1533-position model. The record is from RNAcentral.